Molecule: ribosomal RNA, 425 nt
Filed under: uncultured bacterium
Lineage: Bacteria
Description: partial 16S ribosomal RNA
Rfam family: Bacterial small subunit ribosomal RNA
Source: RNAcentral
GUGGGGAAUCUUGCGCAAUGGGCGAAAGCCUGACGCAGCCAUGCCGCGUGCAUGAUGAAGGUCUUAGGAUUGUAAAAUUCUUUCACCGGGGACGAUAAUGACGGUACCCGGAGAAGAAGCUCCGGCUAACUUCGUGCCAGCAGCCGCGGUAAUACGAAGGGGGCUAGCGUUGCUCGGAAUUACUGGGCGUAAAGGGCGCGUAGGCGGACAGCUUAGUCAGAGGUGAAAGCCCAGGGCUCAACCUUGGAAUUGACUUUGAUACUGGCUGUCUUGAGUUUGGGAGAGGUGAGUGGAACUCCGAGUGUAGAGGUGACAUUCGUAGAUAUUCGGAAGAACACCAGUAGCGAAGGCGACUCACUGGCCCAAUACUAACGCUGAGGCGCGAAAGCGUGGGGAGCAAACAGGAUUAGAUACCCCAGUAGUCC